Molecule: microRNA precursor, 105 nt
Filed under: Canis lupus familiaris (dog)
Lineage: Eukaryota; Metazoa; Chordata; Mammalia; Carnivora; Canidae
Also listed under: 1 other name
Description: mir-8834 microRNA precursor family
Rfam family: mir-8834 microRNA precursor family
Source: Rfam by way of RNAcentral
AGGAGGAACAACCCCAGUGGCGGGGCCAGCUCUGGAGCCCUGGAGUCAGCCCCCGCAGUAGCUCCAGAGCUCUCGGUCUGCAGGGCCUGGAGGCUCCGGGGCGGG